Non-coding RNA from Alphaproteobacteria bacterium, 58 nucleotides. NCBI's taxonomy places the organism in Bacteria, Pseudomonadati, Pseudomonadota, Alphaproteobacteria. The record is from Rfam.
UUCCGGGUUCGGGCCCCUCUGGCGCGCGCGGCGGCGUGCGCGAUGUCGAACCGUCUAG